This 403-nucleotide ribosomal RNA is filed under the name uncultured bacterium. RNAcentral's name for it is "partial 16S ribosomal RNA". It matches the Rfam family "Bacterial small subunit ribosomal RNA", at positions 30 to 526 of the family's 1533-position model. The record is from RNAcentral.
AUUGAACGCUGGUGGCAGGCCUAACACAUGCAAGUCGAGCGAGCGGCGGACGGGUGAGUAAUGUAUGGGGACUGCCCGAUAGAGGGGGAUCACUACUGGAAACGGUGGCUAAUACCGCAUACUGUCGGAUCACCAAUCUGGGAUUAGCUAGUAGGUAAGGUAAUGGCUUACCUAGGCGACGAUCCCUAGCUGGUCUGAGAGGAUGAUCAGCCACACUGGUACUGAGACACGUCCCAGACUCCUACGGAGGGAGCAGUGGGGAAGAUUGCACAAUGGGCUCAAGCCUGAUGCAGCCAUGCCGCGUGUAUGAAGAAGGCCCUAGGGUUGUAAAGUACUUUCAGUCGGGAGGCGUUACCGACAGAAGAAGCACCGGCUAACUCCGUGCCAGCAGCCGCGGUAAUAC